GCAAAUCCUACUACACCACCACGAGCAACAAGGGAAUGAAACCAGAAGUUGUGUAUACAAUGCGGUGAACAUGUUGAAGAUAAGUCAAACUUUUGUCCGAGUUGUGGAAAGAAACUAUUUACUAGUAAGUUUUAAAUAGCGUGUGUAGCAGAAAUCCGAAAGGCAUUGCAAAAGGCGUUGACAAUGUGACUGCUGACAUUGCAGACGAUGUUGUGGAAGAUCUGCAUCUGAAAGAUGUCAUUGAAAAGUUAAAAAGUUUUGAUGAUGACGAUUCAUUCCAGUCAGCAUUGAUGACAGAUGUUUCCGAAAUUUUGGGCAAGAUUGGUUACAGAGGGGUACUAACCCGAGAGAAAUUAUCUUCGAGAGAUUCUAUUAUAAGAUAUUUUGUUUUUUAGCUAUCUGAAUAGUUCUAGCAACAUAUGUACAUAGUCUAAAUGUGCUACUAAGUAACAUAUAUAGUAUGGCUGCUGGUAACAAUUGUUCCAAUGUUGUUGUUUUCAAUAGACAAUGUUUCUUGUCUGAUAUAUGUAUAUUUUCUAGUAGUGUUGCUGUUUAUUUUAGAUCUAUUGUUGUGUUUGAGUUCAGUAAGUUGAUGCUAUGUUAAACCAAAUUAUCGAUGGCCUUUGCUGCUUUGGUGCAUAUGAUUUAAUAAAAGAAUUCCCAGACUUUUUAGAACCUGUCUUUGUGCAGAGUGGUUGUUUCUCAUCGACACCAGAAGAAUUUCUUGAAGACAUCAAAGGAGAAUUCAGUGAGGAUGGUUCCAAUUACAAACAGCAGGAAAUUGACAUCUUUAAAUAUUUUCAUGAUUAUGUGGAGGAAAAAAGUAAAGAGACAGGUGAGGAUCAAUUUUCAUUACCUGCACUACUGCAAUUCAUAACCGGAUCAAGGAGUGUACCUCCUUUAGGUUUUCCCAACAAAAUCAUUGUUAAAUUCAAGCAUGGCUGCCAAGAUGGGUAUAAAUGUAGACCUGUUACUUCAACAUGCGACCUUAGCUUAACUUUACCUGUACACUACCAGGAAGGGGAAUUUAAUUGUGUGAUGAGUUCAGCAAUGAUGUGUGUGCUGGAUUUGGAAGAAUUUAGAAGUGGUACGCUAGAACAGUUCAACUAUUACAAAACCUAUUGUACGCACAUUCACAAAUAUAAGAUGUAGUACAUUUAUGUUAUUUGUGCUGUGCAAUGAUACAUUAUUAUGAGGCUACAUCCAUUAGAUUUUGAAAUAAAUUGAAAGGUUCUUCUGGGCUUUUGGGAUAUUGAGUGCCUUCAGUUUCCAUUAAAUGAUGAAAAUAUUGCUGAUAAUCUUCUUCAUAGGUCUGAUUUUCAUCAUCAACUUUCAGUUCAAUCUUAGCAAUUUGAGCUUCUGACACUCUGUGCAAAUUGUUUAUACCUCCAAAACAUUCUGGAAAAUAAAAUAGUACAUCUGGCUGUCCAGAAACACUACCAUGCCUUGAUGGGCGGUUAAGAUGUGAGUUCCAGCUGGUUUUAACUUUCUGAAAGUCAUCAUUCAGUACAGCAUGAAAACAAAACCGAAGACAUUCCCUUUCAAGGUCCACAAUAUGUUCUGAGGAAAGCUGAGCAACCAUUUAACUGCUUAAAAAACUCAAGAUAUAACCAUGCAGGAGCAGCUGGCGACUUGUUGGAUUUUACAACUUCUAACCAUAGUACUUUCCGACUGUAUCCAUCACAUGCACCAUGCACAGGGAAGCCAAAGGGCUUAAACUUGUUAUAACCUUUCACAAAUAAAAAUAGAUAUGUACUGCUUCAAAGCUAUCUUAGACAAUAAUUUCUAUUUGUAUUUAUACUGUUAUAUAUUCCUUAACACAAAUUUUUCUCUUACCAUCUGCAUGCCAGCAGUGAUUUGGUCCAGGUGACAAAUAUAUUCUUUUCAACUUU
Molecule: long non-coding RNA, 1892 nt
Organism: Xenia sp. Carnegie-2017
Lineage: Eukaryota; Metazoa; Cnidaria; Anthozoa; Malacalcyonacea; Xeniidae
Exons: 4
Source: RefSeq, a predicted model, not a curated record